UCCGGCCAGGAGGUGCCGUUGCCUGAGUGACCCCACAUCCCAGUCAUAGCAGCUGCCCCGGCAGGAGCUUCCUUGGUGAGGAAGGAGCAGUCCAAAUGCAGCCAAGGGGCCUGCAGCAGGCCGAGAGGAGCACGGCUCUGACACCGGCAGCAGGCACAGAAUUGGUGAUACAACAGGGCCCGAGAGUGGCAAUUCGUUGGCUGCUCCCCCAGGGGCUGUGUGGCACUCAGAGCUGAAGAUAGUGGCUCAGAUGUGGCCCGGUGGCCUUUGUGCCCACACACAGACAUCCCUGCUUCCACCUGGGUUCCAGGGCCACGCCUGGAACUGAACUCACUCAGUCAAGGACCAGUGGGCCAAUGAACAUAUUCUCAAUGGCCUGUCAAUCUCUGAAUCCUCACCUGGACGUGCGGGGCCCCACAAAAGUACCAGGCAGAAGGAUCAAGAACUUGAAUGGGAAGUCAUCAGAGAGGGAGACAAACCAUGAGAGACUCUUAACUACAGGAAACAAACUGAGAGCUAAAUCCCAGACUUCUUACAAGUAGGAAAUAUGCAAACUGCAGAAAACCCCUGAUGGUCCUCAACUUGCACUUGCCGAUUACUGAAGCAUCAGCAGGGGAUCUCCAGGGUCCUGGGUGCUCAGAAGAAGAAAGCUCCCAGAGAAUGGCCAGGAAAAAAUUUAACAAGUGCUCUCCCCUUAUCCUCCCAUUUCAUUGUUCUUACCAUCCCCUAAAGGCUAAGAACUCCCCUCCUGCACCUCACAAGCAAUCAUGCUCAGGACAAGUCCCUGACUUGUAUUCGGCUAGCUCAGAAGCUCCUCAAAUCAUCCACGUUCCUUAGCAUCAAGACCCCAAAAAGAGGCACCUCAGGAAAAUCCACUCGGUAAAUUCAUGAUCUCUAAAGACAUUUUGCUUCCCAGCCAUGUCCCAGCUGUCCUUCAACCUGCUUCAGUUGAAACCAAAAAUUCAUCUCUACCACAGCUUCUGCAGCCUUCGACUGUUUGUAGCAGCACGUCGUCAGAGCUCAAGGGGCUGCUGGUGGCCCUCUUCCUCUCUGCUGAUCAUCCUCUGAAGCAUCAAUAAAACACACGGAGAGGCACGUGUACCCCCCCGCCCCACCGCCCACAUACAGUCCCCGCUCCCACAUCUUUCUUCAAGGGCAAGGACCAAAGGAGAAGGGGAGGGGAGUCAGGAUGGGAGUGCCCCAGAUUAAUGGAUAUUUGAAACUCAAACACAUGGCCCAGGACCUACGCUGCACGUGUUAAUUACCACACAUGUGCCCAUAAAGGAGUCCGUUAAACACAAGGGGCCCAAAGAACAGAGCGAGGAAAGGACAUUCCAAGGGAUUAAGUAAAUAGGCUGAAGUUCUGACCCUCCCCCCCCCCCCCCCCCCAGAGCACGUGCAUCUGGGUAAGAUAACAGCGCUGCCCUCCCUCCUUCCCCCACUUCUCCCCUCGGGCCCCACACCUGUGGACCCAGGAGCCACAAGCCAGGCCUCCUGUCUGGGCCAGCCGCCUGUGACCCGCUACUGCCUGGCCUCUCUCCCUCCUCCCUUCCUCCUGCUAUCUCUCCGAGCCUCCUCCCCCAGCCUCCUCUGCUGGGCCUUCUCCUCUCCUCCACAGGACUAAUUCCUGGCUGGCAACCAGACCCUCCAUCUCCGCACAAUACACCUUUUCAUUCCUUCCAGGCAGAGAGAACCGAUCCCUCUGAGCCCUGUCAGUGGAGCGGGCUCCCAAAGGCAAGAGGGUGGGGAGAGAAGGGCCUGGGCCCGCUCCUCCCCCGCUGCCCCCUGCCGCCCCCACCACUCUCACACCCAGACCUGGGGCGUCCUUUCUGGCUGUACCCCUCACCCUGCGCGAGGGUCCGGGCCGCGCAUCUCUGCAGCAGGCCUCAGGGCUGUGAACUCCAGCUCUAGGGAGAUGCCGUCUAGGAGACCCCACGUGUGGGCACCAGCUCAGACAAGGGGCCUUUGUGUCUUCCCACCUGCUGCCCUCUGGAGCACAUUCCAUUCUUAAGUGGCAGCUGAGAGAGGGACCUCAGCGGCUGACACAGGAUAUUACAAAUGCCCUCUCGCACCCUGUCCCCCUUCAAACCCCAGCUUCCUGGACAGGUGUGGCUUCAGGUGGCCCUUCCUACAGGUGGCCUGAGCCUGCUUUUCUCUGCACUGCCCACGGCAGACAAAGAGAAGAGGAUUAGCACCUAAGCUGAUCCUCCAAAGUAGAAGGAAGGAGAUGCUCUGGGCAAAAGUCAAGUCUCCAGAGGCGAGUGAGCCCUAGCAUCCCCCACCAGGCCUCUGCACCAAAGAGGAAGCCUCUGCAGAACCAUCUGGGAGGGAGGAGCCCAUCUGGCGUAGGGGAGCAAAUUGCUGGAAACCAAGCAACUUAUCUCUAAGAUGAGGCUCCAGACUCUAUGCCCCUAUUCCUUGCACCGUCCCUGGAGGAAUCAGGUGUCCCUGUCCUCUCCCAGCUGGAGCAGCAAGAACCCACAAUGGCCACAGGUCUGUUUCUUUUGUUGUCCACAGGGUGCAAAGCCACAUCAACCUGGAAAGUACUUCCCUGUACCGUUUAAGAUCCCAGAUCCCAUGGUUCGCCUUUCUUGGUGUGGGCGCUCCAUUCAGCAUCAUGCCCUCAGUUCCCUUUGGUGGGGGAAAUCUGGGUUGUCUGUUUUGCAUGAUUGCCAAUUGUUUUUUCUACCACUGAGAUCUCAUGCCCCAGAACAAAGGCGAUGUUCCUGAAGUCUUCAGUUGCAACAAGUCAAAUCGAAGGCAGCUCUGCUUCGCAACUCCAGUAAAUUGCAGACUGACACACGUGCCAUUCACAGUGUUGAGGAGGUCAGGUCUUUGCAGGAAGAACCAUUCACGCCCCUCUCCCACUUUCCUACCUAGAAGGGAAUGGCCAGCACGCAGGGCAGCCUCUCCCUGUUCCGGGAAGGACCCAGAAAGGCAGUUGCUCCCUCCUUUUUGCCCACGUAUGCAUUCCUGCUUGUGGAAAGGCCCAUUAAUCCAUGUUUUCUAGUAGGAUCCUGAUGCUCCACUUCCUCGUCCUCUUGGAACACCUGCAUUCAGGCCGGCAGCUUCUCCAGAGUCUCAUUUCCUGCAUCCGGGCAGGGUGGUUUCGCCUCCUCUUCCCAUUCCCGUGGGACAAGCAUGCAGGGCAGGGUCCUGGGCCUCACUUCCAUCUCCCUGUGACCACGGGUGCAGGACAAGCCCAUGCACCUCACGCUGACCCUAUACAGGCCCGACACGCCAUGUGGACAUUUAAGUCCAGUUCCCCCAAGGCCCAGAUUCGGGUGCAAAGCCUCAAACUCAGCUGCCAUCUCCUGGCUGGGUUUUUACCAAAGAGCCCGAAAUAGGGGUUCUGGAGUGUUUGUACAUUCAGUGAAAUUGGUAUUGGUCCCCCAUGCAGCUACCAGAGCGUGUGCUCACGCGCUCUCUCUCUCUCACUCCACUCAAGUGGCAGUGGAGCUUAGUGUCCUCCACCCUGGAAAUUAUGGUCAGCAUAUCCCAGGGACUUAUUCCUCAUGUUGGCUGCCCCACUAAACAGCACUCAGACAAGUGCCUUAAUUGAGGUUAGCCACAUAAUUUGUAGGGCCCAGUGCAGAAUGAAAAUGCAAGGCCCUUUGUUCAAAAAGCAAGAAAAUAGUGCCAUUAAGGGCACCAAACUAUAAAGUUUUAUCCUCUCUUCCAUGGUCUCUCUCUUGACUUGUCAUGGUGUUUUAAAAUUUUCUAUUUAAUGUUGUUCUAGGUAAAGAAGGAUUAAAAUUUUUCACGUCCUGUGGAAGCCCCCACAGCACACGUCACAAAAGCGAUAUGCCAACAGGGGGACAAGGACACACACGUGCGCGCCUCACUGUCCCACUGGGCUUUACUUAGCAAAACACAAGUUUAAAGAUAGAAUGAUUAAGAAUCCCAAGACCAUAGCAGCACAGGUUGCAAGCCUGUGAAGCUGGGCUCGUCUUAGUGAAGAAAAUCUGGAUGGGCUGGAACAAUUAUUAAGGAGAAUCAGCGAGGGGGGGAAAGAUGUUCAAACCGGUUUCCAAAACAAGAGGGUCGGGCAGACCUGGACAUGCCUACCUUCAUUGUCCUUUUUGGUUGCAUGCUGGCUACCUGGUAGUUGACUGACUGAACCGCCCAGGAGCCAAGGUUUUCAGGGUCCCUGCCAGCUCCGUACCC
Long non-coding RNA from Zalophus californianus (California sea lion), 4167 nucleotides. RefSeq lists it as uncharacterized. The record is from RefSeq and is a predicted model, not a curated record. The transcript has 3 exons. Lineage: Eukaryota; Metazoa; Chordata; Mammalia; Carnivora; Otariidae.